This 253-nucleotide ribosomal RNA is filed under the name uncultured bacterium. Its description in RNAcentral is "partial 16S ribosomal RNA". It matches the Rfam family "Bacterial small subunit ribosomal RNA", at positions 524 to 776 of the family's 1533-position model. The record is from RNAcentral.
UACAGAGGGUGCAAACGUUGUUCGGAAUUACUGGGCGUAAAGCGCGCGUAGGCGGACCUGCAAGUCGGGGGUGAAAGCCCGAGGCUCAACCUCGGAACUGCCUUCGAUACUGCGGGUCUCGAGUCCGGGAGAGGUGAGUGGAAUUCCUAGUGUAGAGGUGAAAUUCGUAGAUAUUAGGAAGAACACCAGUGGCGAAGGCGGCUCACUGGUCCGGUACUGACGCUGAGGUGCGAAAGCGUGGGGAGCAAACAGG